GACGAACGCUGGCGGCGUGCUUAACACAUGCAAGUCGAACGGAAAGGCCCUGCUUUUGUGGGGUGCUCGAGUGGCGAACGGGUGAGUAACACGUGAGUAACCUGCCCUUGACUUUGUGAUAACUUCAGGAAACUGGGGCUAAUACCGGAUAGGAGCUCCUGCUGCAUGGUGGGGGUUGGAAAGUUUCGUCGGUUGGGGAUGGACUCGCGGCUUAUCAGCUUGUUGGUGGGGUAGUGGCUUACCAAGGCUUUGACGGGUAGCCGGCCUGAGAGGGUGACCGGCCACAUUGGGAAUGAGAUGCGGCCGAGACUCCUACGGGAGGCAGCAGUGGGGAAUAUUGCACAAUGGGCGGAAGCCUGAGGCAGCAACGCCGCGUGCGGGAUGACGGCCUUCGGGUUGUGAACCGCUUUCGCCUGUGACGAAGCGUGAGUGACGGUAAUGGGUAAAGAAGCACCGGCUAACUACGUG
RNAcentral lists this ribosomal RNA (468 nucleotides) under uncultured bacterium. RNAcentral describes it as "partial 16S ribosomal RNA". It matches the Rfam family "Bacterial small subunit ribosomal RNA", at positions 28 to 507 of the family's 1533-position model. The record is from RNAcentral.